This 149-nucleotide unclassified non-coding RNA is filed under the name soil metagenome. Its description in RNAcentral is "partial internal transcribed spacer 1". The record is from RNAcentral.
CCGAGUUUACAACUCCCAAACCCCUGUGAACAUACCUAUACGUUGCCUCGGCGGAUCAGCCCGCGCCCUGUAAAAAGGGACGGCCCGCCGCAGGAACCCUAAACUCUGUUUUUAGUGGAACUUCUGAGUAUAAACAAACAAAUAAAUCA